GAUCCUGGCUCAAGAUGAACGCUAGCGACAGGCUUAACACAUGCAAGUCGAGGGGCAGCACAGGGUAGCAAUACUUGGGUGGCGACCGGCGCACGGGUGAGUAACGCGUAUGCAACUUACCUAUCAGAGGGGGAUAGCCCGGCGAAAGUCGGAUUAAUACCCCAUGAAACAGGGGUCCCGCAUGGGAAUAUUUGUUUAAGAUUCAUCGCUGAUAGAUAGGCAUGCGUUCCAUUAGGCAGG
This 240-nucleotide ribosomal RNA is filed under the name uncultured bacterium. RNAcentral's name for it is "partial 16S ribosomal RNA". It matches the Rfam family "Bacterial small subunit ribosomal RNA", at positions 15 to 249 of the family's 1533-position model. The record is from RNAcentral.